GAUGAACGCUCGCUACAGGCUUAACACAUGCAAGUCGAGGGGAAACGGCAUCGAAAGCUUGCUUUUGAUGGGCGUCGACCGGCGCACGGGUGAGUAACGCGUAUCCAACCUGCCCAUCACUUGGGAAUAACCUUGCGAAAGUAAGACUAAUGCCCAAUGACAUCCCACGAAGGCAUCCGAAUGGGAUUAAAGAUUUAUCGGUGAUGGAUGGGGAUGCGUCUGAUUAGCUUGUUGGCGGGGUGACGGCCCACCAAGGCAACGAUCAGUAGGGGUUCUGAGAGGAAGGUCCCCCACAUUGGAACUGAGACACGGUCCAAACUCCUACGGGAGGCAGCAGUGAGGAAUAUUGGUCAAUGGGCGAGAGCCUGAACCAGCCAAGUAGCGUGCAGGAUGACGGCCCUAUGGGUUGUAAACUGCUUUUAGAAGGGAAUAAAGUGGGUCACGUGUGACUUUUUGCAUGUACCUUAUGAAUAAGGACCGGCUAAUUCCGUG
This 492-nucleotide ribosomal RNA is filed under the name uncultured bacterium. RNAcentral's name for it is "partial 16S ribosomal RNA". It matches the Rfam family "Bacterial small subunit ribosomal RNA", at positions 28 to 507 of the family's 1533-position model. The record is from RNAcentral.